Molecule: long non-coding RNA, 4998 nt
Organism: Betta splendens (Siamese fighting fish)
Lineage: Eukaryota; Metazoa; Chordata; Actinopteri; Anabantiformes; Osphronemidae
Exons: 9
Source: RefSeq, a predicted model, not a curated record
ACUUCAGUGGUCAGCCAGCGGAGAGCAGCUCAAGUUUAAAGUUGGAAGUCGAAAAGUUAUUUAUUUAUAUAUUUAGCAACUUUUUUGUAUUGUUGGUUAAACUAGAGGCUGGAAUCAAUUUGAAGUAUUUUAAACGCGUGAAACGAACCAUCUUUGACGCAGCUGUUCGUCUGUAGUUUAAUUCCGUUGCGUAACGUAAAGCUAGUCGGCUAAUGCUAGGUCAUCGCACCUCGAGGCCCCGGAGCAGCGUCGUGCUAAAGACCCGCUACGUGUCCGCUCGGGGCGAGGACCGAACAGGUGACGGUCGUGUUUUCAGAGAAAUGAUUUUGUUUGCGAAGGAAUCUCAGGCGCUGGUCUCUUGGAGCACCGGCAGAGCCCGGGGAGCCUUUGAUUGGCCGACGUCAUGAGGAGUGUAAACUCACCAGGUAUUUCGUUGCAGUCCCUGCGCUGCGUGCCGUUCCCCACGCAGGGAACGUUGCCCUGGGCGCCGCACGCUCGACUCCUCAUCUGCAGACCCGAAUCAUCGCAGGCCGACCACAGCGACCAGGCCAUCCAGCCGCCUGAACACAGAGCAUCAGCGUCAGCGCCGAUCCAGACGAGCGCGAGGACGCGGCCUGGAAAGCAGCGCGCCCACCCAAGCUGCCGCCACCCGCGGCCGCUGAACCCCCCCACCCCCACCGUCCAGGAGGCCCCGGCCACCGAAAAGUGUUUGUGAUGUAAACAGGACUGAAGGAGAGAGUUUGUUUAGUGCAUAGCAGAGAUGUUUGUCUCCUGAGCUGAGCUUUAGUGCCGUUUCCCCGCAGCAGGCGACCAAGCAGUAAACAAAGACCGGAGAGGAAGAGGAAGGAGAACAUUCCCAGCGCCCUGCUCCUCCUUUUGAACCGAGCGGUCCCUACACCCUUUCACCCGGCGUCUGAAAGCCCCGGAGUGGAGGGAGCACAGGCUGCAGCGAUGAAAGGCUGAUGGAAAAGCCAGUUUGUUAUUCAGUGUGCUCUCGAGUGUGCAGUUUUGGCAGCGGAGCCCGAGUGGAGGCACAGGACCGGCCUCUUUUACCUUUCCUAUCAGUCUGCUGCUCACUGACGGGCCGCUCAGUCGCCACCAUCUGCUCCUUUAUCGCAGCACAAGCAUCUAGACACAGAAACACACCGACCACCUCAAACAAGUUUAAUAACCAUGCAUCACUACAGCCGUCCUAAUUGCUUCAUUUAUUCCCAUUUAUUUUGUCACCCGGACGACCUGCGUGAUUGCACUGUUGAGUCGGAAGCAGCGGCACAGGCCCCGGGCUGCUAGUUGGUAUUCUGUCCCAGCAGCGCUUCCUGCUGUCCUCCAUUACUGCUGGAGACUUUAAUCAAAUGACCUGCGACAGGGGCAUCAAAUAUCCUCGUGACUGACAGCCAGCUAGCCCGUGAUUACACAUGCAGAGGGGGCGGCGGCACCAGAAGGACUCCGGCGGAUGACCGGCGCCGCGUCUGCCCACAAAUGAACGAUGAGGAGGCAGAUACGAGCGGUGGAGGUCCAUCAACACAAAGGGGAGCGUUGGUCCACGUCACACAGGGAAACGCUAACCUGAUAAAAGGUGCCUGAUUAAUAUUCCUGCAAGAAGGAGGAGGGGGAGGAAGAAAGCCAUUUACCUUCCUUAGUAAUUACCAGGAAGAAUGACUGAGGAUCAUUUUCCCUGUGAAUGACAGUUGAGCUGAUGGAAAAUGAAAAGCACCGAGGGAAGCAGUUAGGGGACAACAACUAUUAGAUUUAGAGAGAAAUCAUCUGCAACACGACGCAUCACUGUACACACACACACACACACACACACACACACUGAAGUACAUACGAGAACAGCCCCGACAAAUUGUUUGCUUCCAGCCAAAUGGAUGAGGACGAAGUGGAAAUCCCAUUGUAGAAGGUUGUCUGAUAUGAAACGGCGCUGAUGCUGGCCUGUGUUUUCCCCUCCUGGAUUAGCAGGCAGGUCUCAUGAAUAUUUCAGUGUCCUUGUAGAAGCAGAGUAAGUGUAGAGGAGGGACACGGAGGGCGUUGUUACACGUCUCCCAUCUCAUUAUCACAUGGGGUGAGACUUUGAGGGAGCGAGGCUAACCUCCAAAUCAAAGGACGCCAUCGGAACGCCUGAUUUAGUCUCAGUCCAACUUCGGCAAAGUCAACUUUGUGUUUACUCUGAUAUUUCCUAUUUGAAUAUCUUGAAAUAAAUCGAACACUUAACAGCACGACGCUAGAGCAAUUCUCCUUCUUACCUCCUACUUUGUGAUUUAAAGGGAGCAGACAUGAAUCUGAUUAUUGAAACCAAUACUUAGCUGGUGGUCUCCAUAGAAUCAGACGUGCACAUACACAAGCAAUCAAAGGUUUUCAGGUGUGUCUGUGUAGCACCAUACAAGUGAUUCUUGGGUUGCCAUGGCGCCCGGCACGGCGGGGUAGGCAGGUUGUUCUCCCAGCACGACUCUGUUUAUCAUUUCAUGUAUACAUUUAUUCAUUAGUAGAUGAAAGGCUUAAUUUCCAGGAGGAGAUAACACAAAAGUGCGUGUGUGUGUGACCUUACCAUCGCAUGUGUGUGUGUUACACAGGGCCUCCUCCGUGUGCAGGCCUAUGCAGAUGUCCCCCCCACUGGUUGGCGCAGGGCUGUUACAGGAGCGUGUGCGUUGGUAGUGACCUCCACCACAACCCACCGAGCACUGGGACCAGGACGACCAGCAGGACCAGGCCCCAUUCACUGGAAUGACACCACAUCAGGUUUGAGGCCUCAGCGGAGCCCGUGAAUGUGGAGCCUGCAGGUCCUUCACAGACACUCAACCGUAAUUAUAUUCUCUGUUUCAUCUGAUCUCAUCAGAGGAGCGUGGCUGACUAAUUGACUGGCUGAUGUCCGUCUGACUGACAGAGCGGCAGCGUUGCCAGAUGUACUGGACUUCAGCAGUGUGACCUCUCACAAGACAUCAUCAUGGAUGGACGUGAUGAAUCUUAAAAUCUUCUGGGUCUUCCCUGGAGAACAACGUAGCGGCCCUGAAGCUAACGGCCUUCGUCUACAGCAACAAACCGCGUGAGCGCUCACGUGGAUGCGUCUCCACCUACCGGGACACGCCUGAACGUUGCAGUCCUGGUACUCAACGGGCGAACCGCGGCACGCGACCGGAGCGCUCUUCCCCUCUGGGCCGGAGCAGGUCCGACGCCGGGUGCGGUAGCCUUUGGCGCAGCUCUGGGAACAGCUCGACCAGGUCUCCCAAGACGACCAGCCUGCGCCGGCGACUCUGACCACCGGUGUCUUCAGGAGCUCCUCAACGAGGGCUGCAGAGAAGGAAAGAUGAGAUUUCCUAAAUACAAGUCACACCUUAUAUGACUUUGCCAGGAAGCAUAUUUCUGUCUGUCCUCCUCUUAAACGCUGUGUCUUUCAUGCAUGCCACAGUUGCUGGCUGUUGGUGUUUCAUCAGUUUGUCAGAGUCGAUGCGGCCCACCCCCCAGGAGGCUGACGGGGGGAGACAGGUAAUCGAUUCAGAAGAAAGGGGCAUGAAAAAGCUACCGGAGGAGAGCAGUGGACUGUAAACCUGUGUGUGUGUGUGUGAGAGAGUGUGUGUAUGUGUGUGUGAGAGUGGGAGUGAGUGCUGGACUGUGACCCCAUCACUAACAGCAUGUAGGGGAGCUAACAGGUCCAACAGCGGGGCCUUUCCAACGUGUCACAUGCCUUCUGGGAGACAUUCUAACUGCAUCCAUUCAGUGCACAUCCUGGACAGCUGUUGCCGUUUUCACAGGUGCGGACCCUGGAGUGGACGCCGCCCCCGCACUCUGUGCUGCACUUGGUCCAGGAGCCCCACGGGGACCAGAAGAUGGGCUGAGGACAGGGCACCCCUUCGUUGCAGAACCUGUGGCGGGACAGGAAGUAGCAGGGGUUGGUUAAUGUCAGCUUAUUGAAGCUGCAGUAAAGGACUCCCACCUCUCGUCCCUGCUCAGGCCCACGCACACUCGGCCGCCGUGUCGAGGCGAAGGGUUGUUGCAGGAGCGCUGGCGCAGCUCGAAGCCCGUCCCACAGGUCGUGCUGCACUGUCCCCAUGACGACCAGGGCGUCCAGCCUCCGUUCCUGUGGCAGCAGAAACACGGGACAUUAACCCACUCCCUCGCAGGGCUGUCUCUGACUGUUGUGCUUUUUAUUUUGUCUAAUCUUGGGUCUGAUUUGGAAGAAACACACACAGGGAGCGCAGUCGGACGAGGAGACAUUCAUUCAAUUUGCUUAAGUGCUUUGUUCCUCCGUAGCUCUCCUCGUGGUUUAAUUGCCACUUUCUGCAAAAGCACAAUUCAAUUCUGACACCAAGGAUUAAAUCUGGCAUGGAUAUCCGGUGGGAUGAAGGUGCCCAAGCACUUUAUCUCGUCUCUGUGCGCUGUAACACUGAUUGGGCCUAUUCCCCUGCAGACAGAGGCACUGAGCGGCGUCGUGAGGAGAACCUGGAUGUCACCUACGUUUAAUAAGAUCCCUCACAUUCACGCCUUAUCGCAGGUUCUGUCAGUGUAAAUACUGCUUUGAGGCGAGAGCUUCAUUUCCGCAAACGUAUUGGACACAAGCUCUGCGAGAACAGAACCCUCUUUACCUGGAGCAGUUGGCGACCUCGAUGGUGGGGCCCUCGCAGCUCCUGCCUCCACAUCGGGGAGCAGGGCUGUCACAUGACCUGGAGCGGCACAAACAGGAGCUCACGCCAUCCACGCCGUCGUCAUUGCUGCAGGGUUGCCACGGCGCCCACGGGCCGAAUCCACCGUUGGUGGUCUGGUUCCGCAGCUGCGAAACAAAUGUCAGUGGCUGCAGGCCUUGCCUUACCGGGCAAACUGUGAUGUUCUGCUUCCACUGGCUCAUGUUGGAGCUCUCCUCCAGCGUGGUGCAUCUCCGCUGCCUGAAGUCCCAGCCACAGUAGGGAUCCCUGGCUUCCAAGCACAGCCUGCAGGGAUCAGGGUACAAGGGCCACGCUUGUUAUAGUCACAGACUCAAAGUGGAAUAAACUGGCCCAUUAGACGCAA